AGAACGAACGCUGGCGGCAGGCCUAACACAUGCAAGUCGAACGCUCGUAGCAAUACGGGAGUGGCAGACGGGUGAGUAACACGUGGGAACAUGCCCUUCGGUUCGGAAUAACUCAGGGAAACUUGAGCUAAUACCGGAUACGAUCGAGAGAUGAAAGAUUCAUCGCCGAAGGAUUGGCCCGCGUCCGAUUAGCUAGUUGGUGAGGUAACGGCUCACCAAGGCGACGAUCGGUAGCUGGUCUGAGAGGAUGAUCAGCCACACUGGGACUGAGACACGGCCCAGACUCCUACGGGAGCAGCAGUGGGGAAUAUUGGACAAUGGGCGCAAGCCUGAUCCAGCCAUGCCGCGUGAGUGAUGAAGGCCCUAGGGUUGUAAAGCUCUUUCGUCAGGGACGAUAAUGACGGUACCUGAAGAAGAAGCCCGGCUAACUUCGCGCCAGCAGCCGC
This 446-nucleotide ribosomal RNA is filed under the name uncultured bacterium. RNAcentral describes it as "SSU rRNA". It matches the Rfam family "Bacterial small subunit ribosomal RNA", at positions 26 to 518 of the family's 1533-position model. The record is from RNAcentral.